This 244-nucleotide long non-coding RNA is filed under the name Setaria viridis. RNAcentral's name for it is "long non-coding RNA (SVIR_LNC004986)". Lineage: Eukaryota; Viridiplantae; Streptophyta; Magnoliopsida; Poales; Poaceae. The record is from RNAcentral.
UGGGAUCAUAUUUAAGAAUGGGACAGACAAGGAGGUAAGGAAGAGAAGCUAGGCUAUCUCUGCUGGAUAGGCAGCUUCAGAGGUACAAAACCCUUACCAUUCCUAACCUGGAUUGGGGAAAUUAUAUUUGCCUUUCCAUUCUAUAUUGCAAUUUCGUGAUAUGUGCAUACAAUUUUGGUACUUUGCAUAAACUGCAGCAAUUUGUUUGUGGUGAUAUCAAGUCCUUGGUGAAAGAUCUAUAAAC